Molecule: ribosomal RNA, 1252 nt
Filed under: metagenome
Description: bacterial SSU rRNA
Rfam family: Bacterial small subunit ribosomal RNA
Source: RNAcentral
AGCUAGUUGGUGAGGUAACGGCCCACCAAGGCGACGAUCGGUAGCCGGACUGAGAGGUUGAACUGCCACAUUGGGACUGAGACACGGCCCAGACUCCUACGGGAGGCAGCAGUGGGGAAUAUUGCACAAUGGGGGAAACCCUGAUGCAGCGACGCCGCGUGGAGGAAGAAGGUCUUCGGAUUGUAAACUCCUGUUGUUGAGGAAGAUAAUGACGGUACUCAACAAGGAAGUGACGGCUAACUACGUGCCAGCAGCCGCGGUAAAACGUAGGUCACAAGCGUUGUCCGGAAUUACUGGGUGUAAAGGGAGCGCAGGCGGGCGAUCAAGUUGGAAAUGAAAUCCAUGGGCUCAACCCAUGAACUGCUUUCAAAACUGGUCGUCUUGAGUAGUGCAGAGGUAGGCGGAAUUCCCGGUGUAGCGGUGGAAUGCGUAGAUAUCGGGAGGAACACCAGUGGCGAAGGCGGCCUACUGGGCACCAACUGACGCUGAGGCUCGAAAGUGUGGGUAGCAAACAGGAUUAGAUACCCUGGUAGUCCACACCGUAAACGAUGAUUACUAGGUGUUGGGAGAUUGACCCUCUCAGUGCCGCAGUUAACACAAUAAGUAAUCCACCUGGGGAGUACGACCGCAAGGUUGAAACUCAAAGGAAUUGACGGGGGCCCGCACAAGCAGUGGAGUAUGUGGUUUAAUUCAACGCAACGCGAAGAACCUUACCAAGUCUUGACAUCCCUUGACGAUGCUGGAAACAGUAUUUCUCUUCGGAGCAAGGAGACAGGUGGUGCAUGGUUGUCGUCAGCUCGUGUCGUGAGAUGUUGGGUUAAGUCCCGCAACGAGCGCAACCCUUAUGGUCAGUUACUACGCAAGAGGACUCUGGCCAGACUGCCGUUGACAAAACGGAGGAAGGUGGGGAUGACGUCAAAUCAUCAUGCCCUUUAUGACUUGGGCUACACACGUACUACAAUGGCGUUAAACAAAGAGAAGCAAGACCGCGAGGUGGAGCAAAACUCAGAAACAACGUCCCAGUUCGGACUGCAGGCUGCAACUCGCCUGCACGAAGUCGGAAUUGCUAGUAAUCGUGGAUCAGCAUGCCACGGUGAAUACGUUCCCGGGCCUUGUACACACCGCCCGUCACACCAUGAGAGCCGGGGGGACCCGAAGUCGGUAGUCUAACCGCAAGGAGGACGCCGCCGAAGGUAAAACUGGUGAUUGGGGUGAAGUCGUAACAAGGUAGCCGUAGGAGAACCUGCGGCUG